Molecule: non-coding RNA, 104 nt
Filed under: Elusimicrobiota bacterium
Lineage: Bacteria; Pseudomonadati; Elusimicrobiota
Description: Elusimicrobia bacterium c-di-GMP sequence
Rfam family: c-di-GMP-I riboswitch aptamer
About the family: GEMM was predicted in a large-scale screen for bacterial structured RNA regulatory elements. Genes associated with GEMM are involved in a diverse array of functions, including chemotaxis regulation, signal transduction, secretion and chitin.
Source: RNAcentral
AACCGAUAAAGGCUACCUUUAACGAAAGUUAAAGGGCGCAAAGCUACAAGACUAAAGUUCCUGAAUUCCAAAAAAGAAGGGACCAUGUCAGUUGGGUUGCCGAA